This is a long non-coding RNA of Passer domesticus (house sparrow), 614 nucleotides long. RefSeq lists it as uncharacterized. The record is from RefSeq and is a predicted model, not a curated record. NCBI's taxonomy places the organism in Eukaryota, Metazoa, Chordata, Aves, Passeriformes, Passeridae. The transcript is spliced from 4 exons.
AUGAGUUACUCUGAUAGUAGCUAUGUUAGUUUCUCCCAAGAUUACAUUUGAUACAAUUAGUGGAAUGACCUCUUUCAGAAGAUAAAACUGAAAUUCAGAUGUUUUCAGAAAGGUUAAAUGCAUCAGGCAAUUGUGGUGUAAGAAGCAGGAGGUAGAAGAAUGAGGAUAAGCAGCAUUUGCUGAUGUGUUUCACUCAUUGAAACAAAAAGCAACAUAGAGCAUCUCUAACAUAAGAUUGCCUAAAGCAAGCUAUGAAGUAUAAAGAGGCUGCAUGUGCUGAGGUCGAUACGAUGCAUGAAACUACGCUGUGCUGAUGAGAAGAGUAAGCAGCAUUAAAUCACACACACAUAUACACAGACAGACAUUUUAUCAUCAGGGAGCUCUACAGCAAAGCCAUGAACUACAGCUACCUAAAAUACAGCGAGAUAUGUUAAUCCAAAAUGAAAGCAAGAAAAGGAUGCAAUACAAUUUUAUGCUAAAUCAUUUUAGUAGAGCACAAAAGAACUCUUCAUUUUGUCUUUUUAACUCAUAACCAAGUAUCAAAACUAGAGGAUAUACAAGUGGAUUCCUCCUGUUUCUGGAAAUAACCUGACAGCCACAAGAGCCAGCAGGAC